RNAcentral lists this long non-coding RNA (1239 nucleotides) under Neogobius melanostomus (round goby). RNAcentral describes it as "lncRNA (ENSNMLG00000001880.1)". Lineage: Eukaryota; Metazoa; Chordata; Actinopteri; Gobiiformes; Gobiidae. The record is from RNAcentral.
UGAUCCUACUGGACUAGCGGGGACCAUUGGGCCCCUUACUCAGCAAAGCCAGCCCCCUGCCACUCCCAUGCAGCAGACUGACAUCAUUCUCCAGACAGCACCCCAGCAAACACAGCCCGAGCUGAUCCCACUGCAAACUAUUAUCCAGCAACAACAGAUGGGGAUGGAUCCACAGGCCUCCACCCUGCAGCUCCCACCAGUGCAGCAGCAGCAGCAAAUGGAGGCCCAGGCUACUCUGCUUCAACAAGUUAGUGCCGCUCAGCCGCUACCUGAACAUGGUCAACAGAGCCUUUCAGCAUCGGCUGCCCACAUGCAUCACCAUGAGGCUUUGCAGCAGACUGGUGUUAAGUGUGCUCUUCCUGCUCAGCCUCAGACGCCGGUCGCACCUCCACCAACAGGUAGGGAGCCAGCUCUGCUCAUACAGCAGCCCACAGAGCAGCCGCCCUUUACCCAGCACCAAUCAGGGGAACUACUAAAGCAGCCACCGCUUCAACCUUCACCCCUGUUUGUCCAGCCUGAACAACCGCCAGAGCACCAACAGCUACCAUAUCUCCCCCAACAGCUCGGUCAGCAAGAACAAAAAACUCUGCUUCAGCAACAAGCCCAUCUACAACAAGUAGAGCAGCAGCAAGCACAGAUCCACAAACAAUUACUGGAUCAAGCCCUGAUUAAACAGCAACAACACCAAGUGCUGGUGGCACCACAAACUCAGCCUGCUCAGCCCCCUCAAACCACACAGAUUUACUACCAACAGACACAAGAGCCAAAAAAUACACCUCUGAAUGAACAACUGGUACAACAACAACAUCAGAAAGAGCAAGAGCUUCAUCAACAGGCUCUGCUGCAGCAGCACUUCCACAAUCAGGUCCUUCUUCAGCAGCAGGAGCAGGCUCAGCUCCAGCAGCAGGCCUUACUCCACCAACAUCUGGAACAGCAGCGGCAGCAGCAGGCUCUGCUACAGCAGCAACAAGUGGAGAGGCAGACUCUCAUACAACAGCUCCAAGAACAGCAACAUGCUGCAAUUGUUCAAAUCCAACAAACAAUGAAGCAAGAGGUUGUUCCUGUUCAAACUAAUCAGCCGCAGGUUCAAUGUCAACCAACCAAUCUGCAGCAUGUCUGUGUGCCGCAUGUGCAGGCAUCCCAGGCGAUUCUCUCACAGCAUCAUGGUAUGGAGCAACAGCAGCAAGCAACUCAAAUCCAAACUCAGCAAAGCAUCUCACAGCCGCAACUCAUUUCCCC